GGAGCGCACGAGUGAGGAUCGCUGGCGGGUUAGCCCGCUGGAGGAAAGUCCGAGCUCCACAGGGCAGGGUGCCGGGUAACGCCCGGGCGGCGUGAGCCGACGGAAAGUGCCGCAGAGAGCAGACCGCCGAUGGCCCCCCGGGGCACAGGCAAGGGUGAAAGGGUGCGGUAAGGGCGCACCGGGCCGCUGGCAACAGGGGCCGCAUGGCAAACCCCACCCGGAGCAAGGCCGAAUAGAGGACGAGGAGUUGCCCGCUCCACCCGAGUCCCGGGUAGGCCGCACGAGGCCGGCAGCGAUGCCGGUCCCAGAUAAAUGAUCCUCCCCCGUCUUCGGGCGGGGACAGAACUCGGCUUAUUCCGUGCGCUCCGCCG
This 371-nucleotide RNase P RNA is filed under the name Gammaproteobacteria bacterium. RNAcentral describes it as "RNase P RNA component class A". It matches the Rfam family "Bacterial RNase P class A". From Rfam's summary of the family: Ribonuclease P (RNase P) is a ubiquitous endoribonuclease, found in archaea, bacteria and eukarya as well as chloroplasts and mitochondria. The record is from RNAcentral. Lineage: Bacteria; Pseudomonadati; Pseudomonadota; Gammaproteobacteria.